UCAGACGAUGCGUCAUGCAUAUCAAUAAGCGGAGGAAAAGAAACUAACAAGGAUUCCCCUAGUAACGGCGAGUGAAGCGGGAAGAGCUCAAAUUUGAAAUCUUAAAGGGUUUCCCUUUACGAAUUGUAGUUUAAAGAAGUGUUUUCUGUUGAGGUUUUGGUAAAAGUUCUUUGGAAUAGGACAUCAUAGAGGGUGAGAAUCCCGUAUUUGACCUUUACUUUCAACUUUGUGAUACACUUUCAAAGAGUCGGAUUGCUUGGGAAUGCAGUCCGAAAAUGGGUGGUAAAUUUCAUCUAAAGCUAAGUAUUGGCGAGAGACCGAUAGCGAACAAGUACCGUGAGGGAAAGAUGAAAAGGACUUUGAAAAGAGAGUUAAACAGUACGUGAAAUUGUCAAAAGGGAAGCGUUUGACACCAGUGUUGUUUUUCUGAAAAUCAAUUAAAGAACUGUUUAUGCUAAGCUGUUUAGACUUUAUCAGCUAUCUAUUUAGUUUUAGGCUUUUCUUUAAUGCACUUUUCAGUUAACAAGUCAACAUCAAUUUCUUUUGCUGUAAAAAAGCUUGAGGAAGGUGGCUUGAGAUUCGUCUUAAGUGUUUAUAGCCUCUUGCCUAUGCAGUCGGAGAGAUUGAGGUCUGCAGCGUAGAUCCUUCGGGGCUAAAUGCAUUUGUGCUAAGUUAUAGCAUUUUAUAGACAACUUGUUGACUAUGAUUGUCUUGUAGCUUACUCGCUUAUGUUAUUUUACCUACGCUUAGGAUGUUGACACACGCGCGUGCUCG
This 774-nucleotide ribosomal RNA is filed under the name uncultured Neocallimastigales. RNAcentral's name for it is "partial large subunit ribosomal RNA". It matches the Rfam family "Eukaryotic large subunit ribosomal RNA", at positions 18 to 643 of the family's 3401-position model. Lineage: Eukaryota; Fungi; Neocallimastigomycota; Neocallimastigomycetes; Neocallimastigales. The record is from RNAcentral.